This 509-nucleotide ribosomal RNA is filed under the name uncultured bacterium. Its description in RNAcentral is "bacterial SSU rRNA". It matches the Rfam family "Bacterial small subunit ribosomal RNA", at positions 321 to 807 of the family's 1533-position model. The record is from RNAcentral.
GCGCCCCGCGCCCGUCCCGCCGCCCCCGCCCGCCUACGGGAGGCAGCAGUAGGGAAUCUUCCACAAUGGACGCAAGUCUGAUGGAGCAACGCCGCGUGAGUGAAGAAGGUCUUCGGAUCGUAAAACUCUGUUGUUAGAGAAGAACACGAGUGAGAGUAACUGUUCAUUCGAUGACGGUAUCUAACCAGCAAGUCACGGCUAACUACGUGCCAGCAGCCGCGGUAAUACGUAGGUGGCAAGCGUUGUCCGGAUUUAUUGGGCGUAAAGGGAACGCAGGCGGUUUUUUAAGUCUGAUGUGAAAGCCUUCGGCUUAACCGGAGUAGUGCAUUGGAAACUGGAAGACUUGAGUGCAGAAGAGGAGAGUGGAACUCCAUGUGUAGCGGUGAAAUGCGUAGAUAUAUGGAAGAACACCAGUGGCGAAAGCGGCUCUCUGGUCUGUAACUGACGCUGAGGUUCGAAAGCGUGGGUAGCAAACAGGAUUAGAUACCCUGGUAGUCCACGCCGUAAAC